RNAcentral lists this long non-coding RNA (402 nucleotides) under Medicago truncatula (barrel medic). Its description in RNAcentral is "long non-coding RNA (MTRU_LNC006642)". The record is from RNAcentral. Lineage: Eukaryota; Viridiplantae; Streptophyta; Magnoliopsida; Fabales; Fabaceae.
AUUUCCAACAUUUCCUUAGAUCAAUUGUGUUCUUUCACAAAUUUGAAAUUGACAAAACCACAAGAAUAAAUGCAAUCACUUACAAUCAGCAUCAAAUAUUGAACAAGCUCAAUUUGAAUUGACAUUGAACAUUGAACACAUGCAAUCACUUGGAAUUGAAAAACACAGGCACAAACGCAAAUAUAAACCCUAAUAACCUUAUGUAUGGAAUAUGAAUCAGGAGUUAGCGCUGAAGAAGGUGACAGAACUUACAAGAAUCGAAAAUGGAGAAUUGGAGAAGAACGGUGAGUUUGAAGGCUGUCGAGAGCGAACGAGACGUGAUACAAAGAGAGAUAGAGAGUCGCGAGCAUCAAUAACCCCUUUCUCACCCUACUGAAUUGAUUGAAGAAGGUAAAGUGAUUG